RNAcentral lists this ribosomal RNA (245 nucleotides) under uncultured bacterium. RNAcentral's name for it is "partial 16S ribosomal RNA". It matches the Rfam family "Bacterial small subunit ribosomal RNA", at positions 524 to 768 of the family's 1533-position model. The record is from RNAcentral.
UACGUAGGAUGCGAGCGUUGUCCGGAUUCAUUGGGCGUAAAGAGUUCGUAGGUGGCAUAUCAAGUCUGGUGUUAAAGCUCGGGGCUCAACUCCGAUUCGGCACUGGAUACUGGUAAGCUUGAGUGCAGUAGAGGCAAGGGGAAUUCCCAGUGUAGCGGUGAAAUGCGUAGAUAUUGGGAGGAACACCGGUGGCGUAAGCGCCUUGCUGGGCUGUUACUGACGCUGAGGAACGAAAGCCGGGGGAG